GCCUGGGUGGCUCAGUCAGUUAAGCAUCUGACUUCAGCUCAGGUCAUGAUCUAGCGGUCCGUGAGUUCGAGCCCCACGUCAGGCU
Molecule: transfer RNA, 85 nt
Filed under: Felis catus (domestic cat)
Lineage: Eukaryota; Metazoa; Chordata; Mammalia; Carnivora; Felidae
Rfam family: tRNA
About the family: Transfer RNA (tRNA) molecules are approximately 80 nucleotides in length.
Source: Rfam by way of RNAcentral